GGCCUACGGGAGGCAGCAGUGGGGAAUAUUGGACAAUGGGGGCAACCCUGAUCCAGCCAUGCCGCGUGUGUGAAGAAGGCCUUCGGGUUGUAAAGCACUUUCAGCGAGGAGGAAAGGUAUGUGGUUAAUACCCGCAUACUGUGACGUUACUCGCAGAAGAAGCACCGGCAAACUCGGUGCCAGCAGCCGCGGUAAUA
RNAcentral lists this ribosomal RNA (197 nucleotides) under uncultured Gammaproteobacteria bacterium. RNAcentral's name for it is "partial 16S ribosomal RNA". It matches the Rfam family "Bacterial small subunit ribosomal RNA", at positions 335 to 525 of the family's 1533-position model. Lineage: Bacteria; Pseudomonadati; Pseudomonadota; Gammaproteobacteria. The record is from RNAcentral.